RNAcentral lists this ribosomal RNA (253 nucleotides) under uncultured bacterium. Its description in RNAcentral is "partial 16S ribosomal RNA". It matches the Rfam family "Bacterial small subunit ribosomal RNA", at positions 524 to 776 of the family's 1533-position model. The record is from RNAcentral.
UACGUAGGGUGCGAGCGUUGUUCGGAAUUACUGGGCGUAAAGCGCACGUAGGCGGAUAUUUAAGUCAGGGGUGAAAUCCCGCAGCUCAACUGCGGAACUGCCUUUGAUACUGGGUAUCUCGAGUAUGGAAGAGGUGAGUGGAAUUCCGAGUGUAGAGGUGAAAUUCGUAGAUAUUCGGAGGAACACCAGUGGCGAAGGCGGCUCACUGGUCCAUUACUGACGCUGAGGUGCGAAAGCGUGGGGAGCAAACAGG